UGCCAGCCGCCGCGGUAAAACCAGCACCUCAAGUGGUCAGGAUGAUUAUUGGGCCUAAAGCAUCCGUAGCCUGUUCUAUAAGUUUCCGGUUAAAUCCAUACGCUUAACGUAUGGGCUGCCGGAAAUACUGCAGAACUAGGGAGUGGGAGAGGUAGACGGUACUCGAUAGGAAGAGGUAAAAUUCUUUGAUCUAUUGAUGACCACCUGUGGCGAAGGCGGUCUACCAGAACACGUUCGACGGUGAGGGAUGAAAGCUGGGGGAGCAAACCGGAUUAGAUA
Molecule: ribosomal RNA, 279 nt
Filed under: uncultured bacterium
Lineage: Bacteria
Description: partial 16S ribosomal RNA
Rfam family: Archaeal small subunit ribosomal RNA
Source: RNAcentral